CCCCUAAGACGAGGAUAACAGUUGGAAACGACUGCUAAGACUGGAUAGGAGACAAGAAGGCAUCUUCUUGUUUUUAAAAGACCUAGCAAUAGGUAUGCUUAGGGAGGAGCUUGCGUCACAUUAGUUAGUUGGUGGGGUAAAGGCCUACCAAGACUAUGAUGUGUAGCCGGGCUGAGAGGUUGAACGGCCACAUUGGGACUGAGACACGGCCCAAACUCCUACGGGAGGCAGCAGUAGGGAAUUUUCGGCAAUGGAGGAAACUCUGACCGAGCAACGCCGCGUGAACGAUGAAGUAUUUCGGUACGUAAAGUUCUUUUAUUAGGGAAGAAUAAAUGAUGGAAAAAUCAUUCUGACGGUACCUAAUGAAUAAGCCCCGGCUAACUAUGUGCCAGCAGCCGCGGUAAUACAUAGGGGGCAAGCGUUAUCCGGAAUUAUUGGGCGUAAAGGGUGCGUAGGCGGUUAAAUAAGUUUAUGGUCUAAGUGCAAUGCUCAACAUUGUGAUGCUAUAAAAACUGUUUAGCUAGAGUAAGAUAGAGGCAAGUGGAAUUCCAUGUGUAGUGGUAAAAUGCGUAAAUAUAUGGAGGAACACCAGUAGCGAAGGCGGCUUGCUGGGUCUUUACUGACGCUGAGGCACGAAAGCGUGGGGAGCAAACAGGAUUAGAUACCCUGGUAGUCCACGCCGUAAACGAUGAGUACUAAACGUUGGGUAAAACCAGUGUUGAAGUUAACACAUUAAGUACUCCGCCUGAGUAGUACGUACGCAAGUAUGAAACUUAAAGGAAUUGACGGGACUCCGCACAAGCGGUGGAUCAUGUUGUUUAAUUCGAAGGUACCCGAAAAACCUCACCAGGUCUUGACAUGCUUCUGCAAAGCUGUAGAAACACAGUGGAGGUUAUCAGUUGCACAGGUGGUGCAUGGUUGUCGUCAGCUCGUGUCGUGAGAUGUUGGGUUAAGUCCCGCAACGAGCGCAACCCUUAUUGUUAGUUACCAGCACGUAAUGGUGGGGACUUUAGCAAGACUGCCAGUGAUAAAUUGGAGGAAGGUGGGGAUGACGUCAAAUCAUCAUGCCCCUUAUGACCUGGGCUACAAACGUGAUACAAUGGCUGUUACAAAGGGUAGCUGAAGCGCAAGUUUUUGGCGAAUCUCAAAAAAACAGUCUCAGUUCGGAUUGAAGUCUGCAACUCGACUUCAUGAAGUUGGAAUCGCUAGUAAUCGCGAAUCAGCAUGUCGCGGUGAAUACGUUCUCGGGGUUUGUACACACCGCCCGUCAAACCACGAAAGUUGGCAAUACCCAAAGCCGGUGGCCUAACUUCGCAAGAAGAGGGAACCGUCUAA
RNAcentral lists this ribosomal RNA (1335 nucleotides) under 'Santalum album' phytoplasma. RNAcentral's name for it is "bacterial SSU rRNA". It matches the Rfam family "Bacterial small subunit ribosomal RNA", at positions 129 to 1460 of the family's 1533-position model. Lineage: Bacteria; Bacillati; Mycoplasmatota; Mollicutes; Acholeplasmatales; Acholeplasmataceae. The record is from RNAcentral.